GAGAGAGGUACAAUAAAAGCUGCUAACUCUUAUAACUGAAACUAAAACCUCAGCUCUCUCAC
RNAcentral lists this transfer RNA (62 nucleotides) under Elseya branderhorsti (New Guinea snapping turtle). RNAcentral's name for it is "tRNA-Ser". The record is from RNAcentral. Lineage: Eukaryota; Metazoa; Chordata; Testudines; Chelidae.